This 253-nucleotide ribosomal RNA is filed under the name uncultured bacterium. RNAcentral describes it as "partial 16S ribosomal RNA". It matches the Rfam family "Bacterial small subunit ribosomal RNA", at positions 524 to 776 of the family's 1533-position model. The record is from RNAcentral.
UACGUAGGUGGCAAGCGUUGUCCGGAUUUAUUGGGUUUAAAGGGUGCGUAGGCGGUCCUAUAAGUCAGUUGUGAAAUACGGCAGCUUAACUGUCGAGGUGCAAUUGAUACUGCAGGACUUGAGUACAGACGAGGUAGGCGGAAUUUACGGUGUAGCAGUGAAAUGCGUAGAUAUCGUAAGGAAGACCAGUGGCGAAGGCGAAUCUCUGGACAGUUACUGACACUGAGGCACGAAGGCCAGGGGAGCAAACGGG